This 494-nucleotide ribosomal RNA is filed under the name uncultured bacterium. RNAcentral's name for it is "bacterial SSU rRNA". It matches the Rfam family "Bacterial small subunit ribosomal RNA", at positions 38 to 518 of the family's 1533-position model. The record is from RNAcentral.
GGCGGCGUGCCUAACACAUGCAAGUCGAACGGAGCUACCGCGCUGAUGAUGGAGAUGCUUGCAUUGACAGAAUCUUGUGGUAGCUUAGUGGCGGACGGGUGAGUAACGUGUGGAUAACCUGGUCCAUCCAGGGGGAUAGCAGCUGGAAACGGCUGGUAAUACCGCAUGAGCGCACACUACCGCAUGGUAGAGUGUGAAAAAGAAAUUAUCGGGAUGGAAUGGAUCCGCAUCUGAUUAGCCAGUUGGCGGGGUAGAAGCCCACCAAAGCGACGAUCAGUAGCCGGCCUGAGAGGGCGGACGGCCACAUUGGGACUGAGACACGGCCCAGACUCCUACGGGAGGCAGCAGUGGGGGAUAUUGCACAAUGGGGGGAACCCUGAUGCAGCGACGCCGCGUGGGUGAAGAAGUAUUUCGGUAUGUAAAGCCCUAUCAGCAGGGAAGAUAAUGACGGUACCUGAGUAAGAAGCCCCGGCUAACUACGUGCCAGCCGCCGC